RNAcentral lists this ribosomal RNA (253 nucleotides) under uncultured bacterium. Its description in RNAcentral is "partial 16S ribosomal RNA". It matches the Rfam family "Bacterial small subunit ribosomal RNA", at positions 524 to 776 of the family's 1533-position model. The record is from RNAcentral.
UACGGAGGGUGCAAGCGUUAAUCGGAAUUACUGGGCGUAAAGCGCACGUAGGCGGACUCUUAAGUCAGGGGUGAAAUCCUGGAGCUCAACUCCAGAACUGCCUUUGAUACUGGGAGUCUUGAGUUCGGGAGAGGUGAGUGGAACUGCGAGUGUAGAGGUGAAAUUCGUAGAUAUUCGCAAGAACACCAGUGGCGAAGGCGGCUCACUGGCCCGAUACUGACGCUGAGGUGCGAAAGCGUGGGGAGCAAACAGG